RNAcentral lists this ribosomal RNA (497 nucleotides) under uncultured bacterium. RNAcentral describes it as "partial 16S ribosomal RNA". It matches the Rfam family "Bacterial small subunit ribosomal RNA", at positions 28 to 507 of the family's 1533-position model. The record is from RNAcentral.
GACGAACGCUGGCGGCGUGCCUAAUACAUGCAAGUUGAGCGCUGAAGGUUGGUACUUGUACCAACUGGAUGAGCAGCGAACGGGUGAGUAACGCGUGGGGAAUCUGCCUUUGAGCGGGGGACAACAUUUGGAAACGAAUGCUAAUACCGCAUAAAAACUUUAAACACAAGUUUUAAGUUUGAAAGAUGCAAUUGCAUCACUCAAAGAUGAUCCCGCGUUGUAUUAGCUAGUUGGUGAGGUAAAGGCUCACCAAGGCGAUGAUACAUAGCCGACCUGAGAGGGGGAUCGGCCACAAUGGGACUGAGACACGGCCCAAACUCCUACGGGAGGCAGCAGUAGGGAAUCUUCGGCAAUGGACGAAAGUCUGACCGAGCAACGCCGCGUGAGGGAAGAAGGUUUUCGGAUCGUAAAACUCUGUUGGUAGAGAAGAACGUUGGUGAGAGUGGAAAGCUCAUCAAGUGACGGUAACUACCCAGAAAGGGACGGCUAACUACGUG